Molecule: small RNA, 136 nt
Filed under: Lyngbya sp. PCC 8106
Lineage: Bacteria; Bacillati; Cyanobacteriota; Cyanophyceae; Oscillatoriales; Microcoleaceae
Also listed under: 1 other name
Description: c-di-AMP riboswitch aptamer (ydaO/yuaA leader)
Rfam family: c-di-AMP riboswitch aptamer (ydaO/yuaA leader)
About the family: This family represents a conserved RNA structure found upstream of the ydaO and yuaA genes in Bacillus subtilis and related genes in other bacteria. The ydaO/yuaA element is thought to act as a genetic "off" switch for the ydaO and yuaA genes in its native state. It is believed that the element may be triggered during osmotic shock leading to activation of ydaO, a predicted amino acid transporter gene, and members of the yuaA-yubG operon which code for KtrA and KtrB K+ transporters.
Source: Rfam by way of RNAcentral
UUAACAAAAGUGCUGAGAAUGAUGAAAAGCGGAGGAACCAAAUUUUGGGGCGUAUCUCUGACUCCUGAUGAGUCAAGAAGGGUAUCUCUCAACCCUAGCCCGUCAGCUAACUCCGUCGGCCUUGAGGGAAGACUGA